UUGCUCGUUCUCCUCUCCUCCACCGCCUCUGACGCGACCUCUUCAGAUCUCGCGACCUCCGGCACCAAGAACACUGCGGGCUCCUCUUCAAACUCCAUCCUAUACGGCUGCUGCGGUCACUGAAGCUGCUGCUGCCCGGGGGGGUAUCGUCACAUAGCUCCCCUUCUUCCAACAACAUGGGACCAGGGAUCAAGACAAACAGCUGACACUUCAAAUGCCUCUUAAUCAGAUGGAUGGAUGAAUAGAUUUCCAAUCCCCAAAGCAUACAUGCAGGAAGAAUAAGCACACAGAUCUAGAGCUCUACAUAUAAAAAUUCAAAUUUAUAAAAAAAAAGGUUAUUGACUUAUCGAUUUCCUGGAAUUUUCGCUUAAAAUUAUGGUUAGGGUGAUGUUCCCCUGUUCGGUUUAAUCAGCAAGUCUACACGACAUCAUGGCCCAACGCAGUCGGGACCUACAGCCUACUCUUCUUUGGAAGUCUUCGGUUACGGAUAAAGGGGCCGACUGGUCGUAGAGCCGAUAAUCAGAAGUUAGAACCAACACCUCGCA
Rana temporaria (common frog) is the source of this 545-nucleotide long non-coding RNA. RefSeq lists it as uncharacterized. The transcript is spliced from 3 exons. Lineage: Eukaryota; Metazoa; Chordata; Amphibia; Anura; Ranidae. The record is from RefSeq and is a predicted model, not a curated record.